AACGAACGCUGGCGGCAGGCCUAACACAUGCAAGUCGAACGCCGUAGCAAUACGGAGUGGCAGACGGGUGAGUAACACGUGGGAACGUACCCUUCGGUUCGGGAUAACUCAGGGAAACUUGAGCUAAUACCGGAUACGUCCGAGAGGAGAAAGAUUUAUCGCCGAGGGAUCGGCCCGCGUCUGAUUAGCUUGUUGGUGAGGUAACGGCUCACCAAGGCGACGAUCAGUAGCUGGCUGAGAGGAUGAUCAGCCACAUUGGGACUGAGACACGGCCCAAACUCCUACGGGAGGCAGCAGUGGGGAAUAUUGGACAAUGGGCGAAAGCCUGAUCCAGCCAUGCCGCGUGAGUGAUGAAGG
This 357-nucleotide ribosomal RNA is filed under the name uncultured bacterium. Its description in RNAcentral is "bacterial SSU rRNA". It matches the Rfam family "Bacterial small subunit ribosomal RNA", at positions 29 to 414 of the family's 1533-position model. The record is from RNAcentral.